CAGUGGCAUCAACAGAAAUUCAAACAUGCUGAUAGUGACCAGUGUGCUUCAAAUUAGAAGGUAGGAAACAAGAAAUCAGCCCAAGAAGAAAUACUUUGGUGAGUGCAAAGCAGCUUACAUAUAUUUCACAUCUGCCUCUUCCCAAUACUUUGAUUUAUCCCUUCAGCACAGCAGGUUUUCCCCCCUCAUGUAUUACUUUUUACUUGCCAGAAGUGCUUAUAGAAACAAAUGAGAAAUAUCAAGCCUGCUGAAGCAUAGUCUGCUGCCAAACUCACCUUCUUUAUUCAACCACCUAUGAGAAUAAUAAAUUUGAGCUCAUAAAAGUCUUUGGCA
RNAcentral lists this long non-coding RNA (333 nucleotides) under Pogona vitticeps (central bearded dragon). RNAcentral describes it as "lncRNA (ENSPVIG00000005399.1)". Lineage: Eukaryota; Metazoa; Chordata; Lepidosauria; Squamata; Agamidae. The record is from RNAcentral.